Long non-coding RNA from Nothoprocta perdicaria, 539 nucleotides. RefSeq lists it as uncharacterized. NCBI's taxonomy places the organism in Eukaryota, Metazoa, Chordata, Aves, Tinamiformes, Tinamidae. The record is from RefSeq and is a predicted model, not a curated record. The transcript has 2 exons.
GCAGCCUCUGCGGAGGCGCCGGAGCCUCCCGGGACGCGUCUCGACGCACCGCGCGGGAGCCGCUGCCCCGGGAGCGGCACCGAGAACCCUGUCGAGGGCCAGCAGAAAGGCGGCCGCGCAGAGCGGCUCCUCCUGGCAGGAGAGCCCCMUCCUUGAAGGCAAAGCGAGAAAUCCUCACGCAACGGCGGCAGCAAACGAUUCGCCGACUACCUUGGCCAGAGUCGCCGAGCUGGAGACCUGGGGCUGCCCAUGGGCACGGACGGGACUAACCAAGGCUCGGACGGGUCUUGGUGCAAGCGGCCAAGGCCGCCCGAGCGCCGCGGGCUCCCGGUUCUGGGAAAGGAACUGGCGGCCUCGGGGGCUCGGGAAGGUGUCGGGCUCUCUGGCAUUUGUUCCUUUCCGUGGCGGGUCCUUGAUGACGGUCUCGGUAAUAUUCGGUUCUAAAUUCUACAGAGUAGCCACAAAAAUAGAAAUGUGGCCAGUCUAUCUGGAGUGGUUUAUUUACUAUGAAAACGAUGCCGUUCCAGCCUUCCCUGCAA